GAUGAACGCUGGCGGUAUGCCUAACACAUGCAAGUCGAACGAACCUUCGGGUUAGUGGCGGACGGGUGAGUAACGCGUGAGAAUCUGCCUCUUGGUUGGGGACAACAGUUGGAAACGACUGCUAAUACCCAAUGUGCCGCAAGGUGAAAGAUUUAUUGCCAAGAGAGGAGCUCGCGUCUGAUUAGCUAGUUGGUGGGGUAAAAAGCCUACCAAGGCAUCGAUCAGUAGCUGGUCUGAGAGGAUGAGCAGCCACACUGGGACUGAGACACGGCCCAGACUCCUACGGGAGGCAGCAGUGGGGAAUUUUCCGCAAUGGGCGAAAGCCUGACGGAGCAAUACCGCGUGAGGGA
This 350-nucleotide ribosomal RNA is filed under the name uncultured cyanobacterium. RNAcentral's name for it is "bacterial SSU rRNA". It matches the Rfam family "Bacterial small subunit ribosomal RNA", at positions 28 to 408 of the family's 1533-position model. The record is from RNAcentral. Lineage: Bacteria; Bacillati; Cyanobacteriota.